Pan troglodytes (chimpanzee) is the source of this 919-nucleotide long non-coding RNA. RefSeq lists it as uncharacterized. The transcript has 3 exons. NCBI's taxonomy places the organism in Eukaryota, Metazoa, Chordata, Mammalia, Primates, Hominidae. The record is from RefSeq and is a predicted model, not a curated record.
GGGAGGUGGGAGCAGCCAAGCCAGGGUGUGAUUUCCAGAAAAGCCCCAGAGAGAGUGGCCUCAGCCUCAUACCAUAGGGCACUCUGGAGUUGGUCCUGACUCGGGGGCCUGUCAGUCAUUGGCCAAGGGCCAGGCUUUGGGGUGUCGACUCCCACACAGCUCAGCUCCCUGAAGAUGUGGGCACGGUGGUGGUGGGGGCUGCUGAAGAGUUGCAGAUGCAGCCACUGGAGGGGAGGCUGAGGUCAGUAGCCAGGCUCACAGGGACGGCAAUGGGAUGGGAAGCAACACCUGACGGGCUCAGCUACAGGUGCUGACGGAUUCAUAGGCAGGUGGCAGAAGGCAGUCAAAUAAAUGAAACAAUACAGCGCCCUCCCCGCGACCACACACACCGCUCACGCCUAUGAGUGUUCGGGAUGCAUUGGGUCUCAUUCUGCGUGUUGUACGUGUCCCGUGACGCCUCAUGAGGAUGCUCUUUGGCAGACACUGGUAUUGUUAUUCUUAUUUUACAGGUGAGGACAUGGAAGCACAGGGAGGUUAUGCCACUCGCCCAAAGACAACUAAUCAGUGACAGCUGAGACUUGGAUUGCAGAACCUACACUUUAUAACUAUUUUACAGUUCUGGGCGUCACGGAAUCUUGUAUGAGGAGCCCCUAACCUGGCCCGGGUGGAGGCUCUGCUUCCUCAGUGUCAGCAUCAUUCACAGCAGGCAUGUCCCUCCUGCCUCCAAGAGAGUCACCAGCAGCUUCCUCCUCCACAUCUCAAAAAUCCUGUGUGUACACAUAUGCUGAACAAGGCGCACACAGUCUUCAUACUUCUUUCCCCAAAUCCACUGUUGUACCUCACUCUGGAAACCAAAGAAUACAAAUGGAGAUGAGGCUAAUUUUUGCCCCUCAAAUUGGCAAAGGUGAAUAAAACCAUG